Molecule: ribosomal RNA, 497 nt
Filed under: uncultured bacterium
Lineage: Bacteria
Description: partial 16S ribosomal RNA
Rfam family: Bacterial small subunit ribosomal RNA
Source: RNAcentral
GAUGAACGCUGGCGGCGUGCCUAAUACAUGCAAGUCGAACGCUGAAGGAAGGAGCUUGCUCUUUCCGGAUGAGUUGCGAACGGGUGAGUAACGCGUAGGUAACCUGCCUGGUAGCGGGGGAUAACUAUUGGAAACGAUAGCUAAUACCGCAUAACAGUAGAUGUUGCAUGAUAUCUACUUAAAAGGUGCAAUUGCACCACUACCAGAUGGACCUGCGUUGUAUUAGCUAGUUGGUGAGGUAACGGCUCACCAAGGCGACGAUACAUAGCCGACCUGAGAGGGUGAUCGGCCACACUGGGACUGAGACACGGCCCAGACUCCUACGGGAGGCAGCAGUAGGGAAUCUUCGGCAAUGGACGGAAGUCUGACCGAGCAACGCCGCGUGAGUGAAGAAGGGUUUCGAAUCGUAAAGCUCUGUUGUAAGAGAAGAACGAGUGUGAGAGUGGAAAGUUCACACUGUGACGGUAGCUUACCAGAAAGGGACGGCUAACUACGUG